GGCUAGCAGUGGAGUCCCAAAUAAGACGAAACCCGCGUCCUGGAU
This is a non-coding RNA of Schistosoma mansoni, 45 nucleotides long. The record is from Rfam. Lineage: Eukaryota; Metazoa; Platyhelminthes; Trematoda; Strigeidida; Schistosomatidae.